GGACUACUGGGGUAUCUAAUCCUGUUUGCUCCCCACGCUUUCGUGCCUGAACGUCGGUACUGGACCAGGAAGCCGCUUUCGCCACUGAUGUUCCUUCUGAUAUCUACGCAUUUCACCGCUACACCAGAAAUUCCGCUUCCCUCUUCCGUACCCUAGCCUCGCAGUUUCGAAUGCAAUUCCCAGGUUGAGCCCGGGGAUUUCACACCCGACUUACGAAACCGUCUACGCACGCUUUACGCCCAGUAAUUCCGAUUAACGCUCGCACCCUCUGUAUUACCGCGGCGGCUGGCAC
RNAcentral lists this ribosomal RNA (292 nucleotides) under uncultured bacterium. RNAcentral describes it as "partial 16S ribosomal RNA". The record is from RNAcentral. RNAcentral also lists the same sequence under 1 other name.